UAACCACUCAAGCUCUCGCUUGGUAUUGGGGUUCGCGGUUUCGCGGCCCCUAAAAUCAGUGGCGGUGCCUAUCGGCUCUACGCGUAGUAAUACUUCUCGCGAUUGAGUCCGGUAGGUCUACUUGCCAGCAACCCCUAAUUUUUUUUUUUAA
Molecule: unclassified non-coding RNA, 151 nt
Filed under: uncultured Ascomycota
Lineage: Eukaryota; Fungi; Ascomycota
Description: sequence contains ITS2
Source: RNAcentral